RNAcentral lists this unclassified non-coding RNA (200 nucleotides) under soil metagenome. RNAcentral's name for it is "partial contains internal transcribed spacer 2 and large subunit ribosomal RNA". The record is from RNAcentral.
GUCUUGGGCGACAAGGGGAAACCCCUGCGCCUCAAUUUCACCGGCUGGCCGUCGCCCGUCUUAGCGUUGCAACACUUAGAUCGCUAGGAUGCGUGUAUAUAAGCCAUGCUGUAAGGAUCUCCGGGAGGAGACAUCGGAAUUUCAAUCGAAAUUCGAACAAGGUUGACCUCGGAUCGGGUAGGAAUACCCGCUGAACUUAA